RNAcentral lists this long non-coding RNA (254 nucleotides) under Olea europaea (common olive). RNAcentral's name for it is "long non-coding RNA (OEUR_LNC011089)". Lineage: Eukaryota; Viridiplantae; Streptophyta; Magnoliopsida; Lamiales; Oleaceae. The record is from RNAcentral.
CUCUCUCAGCUGCUCCUUUGUGUGUACGUAAAAUCAAUUCUCUGCGGUCGACAAGCCUUUUCUUUUCCGCUUCAAUGCAUGUGUGUAACAUAUACAUAUACAUACAGCCGCCAACUCUUUUCUUCCCAGGAGUCCAAUUCCAAUUAAAUUCCAAUCACCAACUACUAGUAAAAAAGGGGUCCAAACCCAAAUAAAUUUUUAUCCCUUUUCCAAAUUGAGUUGAAGCCCAACUAAUGAGAUCUCUCAUCAACGCA